AACUUACGAAUGGAAAAGCUCACCAGUAAAGGCAAACAUACAGUAAAGAUUGCUAUAUCAAAUCCUCAUGGUAACCGCAAAUUGAAAAUCUACGAUACACAUACAAAAAAGAAAAAGGAAUUGAAACACAACACUAAAGUUAGUCAUCAAAUCACAAGAGAAGAGAACAAAAGAGGAUGGGAACAAGAAAAAUGUUUCGUAACUCUAUGUCUCUUGAUUUUUUGUAUUUUCCAUCUCUAUGUGAUAUGCUGUUUUUUCGUUUCCUCAGCUCUACAUUCUAAUCCAUUGAGUCUUUUGGCUUGGAAUUUGUUUCCAUUACAAGUUUCAUUCAGUUCUUUUUGACAUCUUUCAGGUCCUUUUUAAAGUGACUUGGCCUUUGUUCAUAAAAAGAAUUUUCCUUUAUACAUUGAAUCAUUUAAAACAUAUAAUUGCAUAAUUUGAGAUCAAUAAUUCCAUUACCUGAAAUUUUUGAAUAUCUAACCUGCUCUAAAUUUUAUCUGUUGACAUACUCACAUUGGCUUAUUUCCUUGAUUGUUUUAUAAUUUUGGAUUUUUUAGUUCUGUUUUAAUAAGGAUUUAAUUUGUGUGAAUACUGAAUGGCUUCAGGGUUGAGUGUUUCAUACCUCAAAGUAGUUUGCUUCUGCUGGGAACCCCAGUAAUAUUAUUAGCUCUGGGACAACUUUUGGUUUUGUUGUUGCUGUUAUUGUUACUGUUUUGACUUUGCAGAUUCUUUUUCUUUGGCCAUGCCAUGUGUCUUGUGGGAUUUUGGUUCCCUGACCAGGGAUUGAACCUGCGCCCUCGGCAGUGAAAGCACAGAGUCCUAAUAACCCUAGAGAUUCUUGGAAUGGUAAAAUAAAUGAGUGUAUUCCUAUGAAGCAAGAAGGCUGAUUACUAUGAAAGUAAAUGAAAGACUUCCCUGGUGGCACAGUGGUUAAGAAUCUGCCUCUCCCAAUGCAGGGAACACGGGUUUGAUCCCUGGUCCGGGAAGAUCCCACAUACCA
Long non-coding RNA from Aethalodelphis obliquidens (Pacific white-sided dolphin), 1000 nucleotides. RefSeq lists it as uncharacterized. NCBI's taxonomy places the organism in Eukaryota, Metazoa, Chordata, Mammalia, Artiodactyla, Delphinidae. The transcript is spliced from 3 exons. The record is from RefSeq and is a predicted model, not a curated record.